AUGUUGGUAUCUGGGUAAUACAGUAUCUGGCUUCAUAGAAUGCGCUCCCUCCCUUCUGCUGUUUGGAAGAGUUUGUGAUUGGUGUUAGUUUCUCUUUAAAUAUUUGGUAGAAUUCACCAGUGAUGCCAUCUGGUCCUGGCAUUUUCUUUGUGUUUACCAAAUCAACCUCUACUUGUUAUUGGUCUAUUCAGAUUUUCUACUUCUCUUGAGUCAGUUUUGGUAGUUUGUCUUUCUAUGAAUUUGUCCACUUCAUCUAUGCUAUCUAAUUUCUUGGCAUACAUUCGUUCAUAGUAUUCCCUUACAACCAGUUUAUUUCUAUAAGAUCAAUAGUGAUGUUCCCUUUUCCAUUCCUGAUUUUAGUCACUUGAUUCUUCUCGUUUUCUUUCUCGGUCAAUCUAGCUAAAGGUUUGCUGAUUUUGCUGAUCUUUUCAAAGGACCAUCUCUUAGUCUCCUCGACUUUAUUAUUUUUAUAUUCUCUAUAUUAAGUUUACCAAGACUUGUUGUAUGGUCUAGCAUAUAGUCUGAACUGGAGAAUGUUCCAUGUGGACUUGAGAACAACACACUAUUUUGUCUUCGUUGGAUGGAGUGUUCUAUAGAUGUGUUAGAUUUAGUUGGUUUAGAGUGUUCCUCAAACUCAUUUUUUUGGUUGAUCUUCUGCCUCAUUCUAACCAUUACUAAAAGUGGAGUACUGAAAACCCUAUUAUUAUUGAAUUAUCUAUUUCUCCCUCCAAUUCUACCAGGUUUGGUGGAGGGGGUUGCUUCAUGUAUUCGAGGUUCUAUUGUUAUUUUUAUAACUGGUAUGUCUUCCUGGUGGAUUGACAUUUUUAUCAUCAUAAAAUGUCCUUCUUUGUCUCUAAUAACAAAAUUUUCUGUUAAAGUCUACUUUGUCUGGAAAUAGUAUAGCCACUCCACCUCUCUUCUGGUUACUGUUUGAAAGGUAUACCUUUUCCAUCCUCAACUUACAACCUAUUUGUAUUUUGAACCUACAGUGUGUCUAUUUUGGACAGCCCACCAGUUUAUUUUAAAGCAAAUAUCAUAUCAUUUUACCUAUAAAUCCUUCAGUAUAAAUCCUUCAGAUUAGGACACUUAAAAAUAAAUAAAUAAACACAACACCAUUAUCACAUGUAAAAACAUUCACUAGAUUCCCGCUGUGGCACAGUGGGUUAAUGACCCGGCUUGUCUCUGUGGAGGUGCCAGUUUGAUCCCCCGCCCCGUGCAAUGGGUUAAGGAUCUGGCGUUGCUGCAGCUGUAGCGUAAAUCACAACUCAACUCCCACUGUGAUUUGAUCCCUGGCCCAAAAAUUUCUGUAUGCCUUGGAGUCAGCCAAAAAAGAAUAAAAAUAUAACAUUCACAUAAUUUCUUAAUAUCAACAAAUACCCAAUUAAUAAUCAGCAUUCAUUCUUAAAAUUGUCACCUCACAGACUCCUAGACACUGUGUUCUCCUGGUCUCCUGCUAUAUCACAAAGAACUUUCUUCUUUCCAUGGGCUAAAAUUCUAGCCUAAAACUUCAAAAGCUAUUACUCUUUCCUAAAAUCCUAUCACAUUCUCUCAGGCAUCUCAACAUCUCCUAGGGUACCAACCAUCAGCUCAAUACAGGAAACAUCCAAGAUUUUCUCUCAUAUAGGAGUUUCAUAAUUUCUACUGUCUGAUGGAGCAUCUGCAUGGGAGCCCCACAUCAAACUUUACAGUUCCCAAACUAAAGACCUCACUUGGCCCCCAAACUUGCUCUUCUGCCAACUUCUCCAUCGUUGUCAUCACCAUCAUCUCUCUGGUCAAUUACACUCAAAAUUCCUGUCAUCUUGGUCACCUGCCUUCACCUCCCAAGAGAGGGAUGGGUCUGAGACAACAGAGGAAAGGCAAGGAGAGAGCUGUGGGGGAUUCACACUGGGGAAAGUCUGAGAUACCAGGAUGAAGACUUUGUACUUAAUGUAGCAAUGGCUGUGUUCCCAUCUGUUUAGAAACUUCACCUGGUAGGAGUUCAUAAGACAUACUGGUGCAGGGUCUGAGUUGGCUAAGAUCUGAGUUACAGUCUAAUAAGUUUCUCCACUAAGACAACUCUUCAUGAUGGGCCCUAUUCUAAACACAUCACAUACAAUAACUCACUUAACUCUCAAAACCCCAUAAAGUCAUUAUUUUAUCCCCAUUUUAUAGAUGAGAAAACAGAGACCAGUGAAAUUAAAUAUGUCGCCAGGUACCCUGCCUAAUAAGUGAAGGAGCCAGCGUUCAAAGCCAGGCUAAGUGGUCUCAGAGUCUAUGUUUUAAACUAAGAUACUCUACCACUUCCCUACUUGGUCAUUCAUCCUUGGUCAGUCACUAUACCCAUUCUAAAUGUAGCCUCAUUUCCAAUUGAGUCCAAAGUCUUUCCCAGGGCAAAAAGGCAGAAGCAUAGUCUAAACUUCCUGAUAAGAUCCCUGUAAGAUGACAGUGAGUUUUGUUUUUUUUGUCUUUUUUUGUUUGUUUGUUUGUUUUUUUGCUUUUUAGGGCCACACUCACAGCAUAUAGAGGUUCCUAGGCUAGGGGCUGAAUCAGAGCUACAGCUGCAGGCCUACGCCACAGCUCACAGCAAUGCCAGAUCCUUAACCCAUUGAGCAAGGCCAGGGAUCAAACUCACAACCUCGUGGUUCCUAGUCAGAUUUGUUUCCUCUGCGCCACAACGGGAAGUCCAGACAGUGAGAGAAUUUAAAAGGCAUAAACCCAAUAUGACAAAGAGAACAGGGGUGGGACAUCAAUGGAAAAGUAAUUUCGUGUAUUUCUGGAAUACAGAAACUGGAUGGAAAUUGAUGAAGUCAGAUGGAAGAAGAGGCAGUCUGGAACACACGAGAAUGAGGUUACAGCCAAUGAGCAGGCUAUCCUGCCAUGUCUAACCACAAAGAGGUUGGAGAUUCAAACUUGUCAAGUAAGAAGGAGGAAGAGAAGGUAGCUCAGGGAAUGAAUAGAGGAGGUUAAUCCAAAGUCUUUAUAAGGCUCAUUACCCCUCCUACCCUACCACAUAUGCAGUGUGCCCCAUGUCAAAGCAGGCAGCACCCAGUGAAAAGGAAGAAUGCACCCUCAGGAGGAGGGAUGAACUAUCUGGGAAGACCAGAGACAGCUCAUGGGAGUGUUGCAGCCCACACUUUAUGGCAUUCCAGAUAUUCCAGUAACAGCUUCCUGGUCACCCACCACAGGAGAAACUCUGCAAGUCCUAUGUCCCCAGAGUUCCUGAGCUGCUCCUUAAACAUGAAUGGACAAUUCAGAAUUGCCAAACAUUUGAGGCAAGCUGCCACCAUGAAAGUAAGAAACCAAGAAAUAUAGAAAAACAGACCCACAGAGCAGCUAUGAUAACUCAGCUCAGAGAAAAGCGGAGAGAUUCAAGAAGCUACUUCAGGAGUUCCCUUUGUGGCUCAGAGGUUAAUGAACCCAAUAGGAUCCAUGAGGAUGCUGGUUCAAUCCCUGGCCUCGAUCAGUGGGUUAAGGAUUUGGCAUUGUCAUGAGCUGUGGUGUAGGUAGCUUGGACUCGACCCCUAGCUGGGGAAUUUCCAUAUGCCACAGAUGUGGCCCUAAAAAGCAAAAAAAAAAAAAAAAGAAGAAGAAGAAGAAGAAGCUACUUCAUUCAUAAAGCAAUAAAAAAAAAAACAUGAAACAGGAGUUCCUGUGGUGGCUCAGUGAUUAAUGAAUCCAACUAGGAACCAUGAGGUUGUGGGUUCAAUCCCUAGCCUCACUCAGUGGAUUAAGGAUCCACUGUUGCCAUGAGCUGUGGUGUAGGUCGCAGACGCUGCUUGGAUCCAGUAUUUCUGUGGCUGUGGCAUAGGCCGGCUCUGAUUAGACCCCUAGCCUGGGAACCUCCAUAUGCCACAGGUGUGGCCCUACAAAAGAAAAACAAAAACAAAAAACAGAAAAUGUGUACAAAAACAGGAGGAGAGAAUAUAGUGAUUGAUAUAAGAGGUCCAACAUUUGACUAACAGAAGUUCGAGAAAGAGAAAAGAGAGGGGAGAGACUUCUCCACAGAGGAGUCAUCGGAUGGGGACAUGACAGGCCUUCCAGGCCCAGGAAACAGUAUGCACAAGACACAGAGGCCUGAGAGUACAAGCUGUUUAUGGAGUUGCAGGCAGUUCUGUGUGACAGAAGGACAGGAUAUCUGAGGGAGUGGUGGGGAGGUAAGAUCUCAGAGGUAGAACCAGAAAAGCCUUGAAUACCACACAGAGACAUUUGGUCUCUAACCUGCAGGUUUGAGGACUCUUUAAGCAGAGAUACAAGAUGACUGGGUUUGCAAUAAGGAAAGAUUAGCCUAGAGUCCAAAAUAUGGGAGAUGAACUGUUCUAGAUAUCAAUUGCUAUGAAAUGGCCCCAAAUUCAGUGACUUAAAACAACAAAAGUCUCAUAUUUGCUGAUAAAUCUGUAAUUUGGACAAGUCUCAGUGGGAACAGUGGUCUCUGCUCCAUGUGACACCAGCUGGGGAGGUUCAAAUGCUGGAAGUGACUUGAUGGCUGGAGGGGAUGGAAUCACUAAAUGGCUGCCGCAGCUCCUAUAUCACAUCCUUUGAGAAAAGUCAGAGAAUGACUUUCCCUAGAUUUCAAGCAAACGUCUCAUCAAGGCUCAUAGAAUCUAACUGCAUCACAAAUGUACAUCCCUGAAUCAAUCUCUGUGGCCCAGACAAUGCAGUACACUGAUUGGUCCAGCUCCCUUCCAACUUGAGCUAGAAAGGAGUCCCACCCUAGCAUGGAUUGAGAGUAGCAAAGGGGAGCAUCUGCAAGUAAUAAGCAGAGAAGGAAGGGGGAUGGAUGCUGGGAAGGCAAACCUCAGGUAUGCAUGCCUCUAUCUCCCUGUUCCUCCCCUCCUCCUCUUGCUUGCUUUUCAAUGGAAGGAAGCUCCCUCUUCCAUGUUUUACUGGGUGGAAGGAAUGCUAAUUUCUCUAACUGGAGAGCUCUGUGCUCAGAAGGGCCAUUUAUACUCUGCUCAAUACAACUGAUGAAGCAUAAACUAAUUAAUUCUUAGAGUGAGAGCAUCCCUAUCAGUUUUUUCCCAAUAGUGAUGAAUCAUUAUCAGCCCAAACCUUAUCAUCUGCUUACUCAAUCAAUCCACACUA
RNAcentral lists this long non-coding RNA (5061 nucleotides) under Sus scrofa (pig). RNAcentral's name for it is "lncRNA (ENSSSCG00000059100.1)". The record is from RNAcentral. Lineage: Eukaryota; Metazoa; Chordata; Mammalia; Artiodactyla; Suidae.